UAUAAACCCUGGUUAGAUGGGAUUCCGAAAAGUCAAUUUCUUCGUCUUCACCGUAACUGUUCUCUAUCAAAUGAUUUUAAAAUCCAAUCUACCUCAUUGAAUAGUAAAUUUUUAGAUAAAAACUAUGAACCAGAAAAAUUGAAUGCAGCAUUAAAAGAAGUUAGUACAAAAGAAAGAAAGGACCUUUUAGCAUACAAAGCUAAAAAGGAAGACCCCC
This is a non-coding RNA of Pelobates cultripes (western spadefoot toad), 217 nucleotides long. The record is from the annotation of a GenBank genome assembly. Lineage: Eukaryota; Metazoa; Chordata; Amphibia; Anura; Pelobatidae.